This 301-nucleotide ribosomal RNA is filed under the name uncultured bacterium. RNAcentral describes it as "partial 16S ribosomal RNA". It matches the Rfam family "Bacterial small subunit ribosomal RNA", at positions 509 to 807 of the family's 1533-position model. The record is from RNAcentral.
CAGCCGCCACGGGAAUACAGAGGGUGCGAGCGUUAAUCGGAUUUACUGGGCGUAAAGCGUGCGUAGGCGGCUUUUUAAGUCGGAUGUGAAAUCCCUGAGCUUAACUUAGGAAUUGCAUUCGAUACUGGGAAGCUAGAGUAUGGGAGAGGAUGGUAGAAUUCCAGGUGUAGCGGUGAAAUGCGUAGAGAUCUGGAGGAAUACCGAUGGCGAAGGCAGCCAUCUGGCCUAAUACUGACGCUGAGGUACGAAAGCAUGGGGAGCAAACAGGAUUAGAGACCCCAGUAGUUCCUGUCUCUUAUAC